UACGUAGGGUGCAAGCGUUGUCCGGAAUUAUUGGGCGUAAAGAGCUCGUAGGCGGUUUGUCGCGUCGGCUGUGAAAACCUGGGGCUCAACCCCGGGCCUGCAGCCGAUACGGGCAAACUAGAAUUCGGUAGGGGAGACGUGGAAUUCCUGGUGUAGCGGUGAAAUGCGCAGAUAUCAGGAGGAACACCGGUGGCGAAGGCGGGUCUCUGGGCCGAUAUUGACGCUGAGGAGCGAAAGCGUGGGGAGCGAACAGG
This 254-nucleotide ribosomal RNA is filed under the name uncultured bacterium. RNAcentral describes it as "partial 16S ribosomal RNA". It matches the Rfam family "Bacterial small subunit ribosomal RNA", at positions 524 to 776 of the family's 1533-position model. The record is from RNAcentral.